CUUCCAGGAAAAGCUCCUAAGCUUCAGCUUACGCAGACCGUACCGUAAACCGACACAGGUGGGUAGGAUGAGAAUUCUCAGGCGCUUGAGAGAACUCGGGUGAAGGAACUAGGCAACAUGGCACCGUAACUUCGGGAGAAGGUGCACCCUUUUUGGUGGCUCGUGCGAGCUAUAGCUGAAGAGGGUCGCAGUAACCAGGCCGCUGCGACUGUUUAUCAAAAACACAGCACUCUGCAAACACGAAAGUGGACGUAUAGGGUGUGACGCCUGCCCGGUGCUGGAAGGUUAAUUGAUGGGGUCAGCCGCAAGGCGAAGCUCUUGAUCGAAGCCCCAGUAAACGGCGGCCGUAACUAUAACGGUCCUAAGGUAGCGAAAUUCCUUGUCGGGUAAGUUCCGACCUGCACGAAUGGCGUAACGACAGCGGCGCUGUCUCCACCCGAGACUCAGUGAAAUUGAAAUCGCUGUGAAGAUGCAGCGUUCCCGUGGCAAGACGGAAAGACCCCGUGAACCUUUACUAUAGCUUUACACUGAACGUUGAGUUCGUCUGUGUAGG
This 553-nucleotide ribosomal RNA is filed under the name Stenotrophomonas maltophilia. RNAcentral describes it as "partial 23S ribosomal RNA". It matches the Rfam family "Bacterial large subunit ribosomal RNA", at positions 1605 to 2142 of the family's 2925-position model. Lineage: Bacteria; Pseudomonadati; Pseudomonadota; Gammaproteobacteria; Lysobacterales; Lysobacteraceae. The record is from RNAcentral.